RNAcentral lists this long non-coding RNA (861 nucleotides) under Mustela putorius furo (domestic ferret). RNAcentral's name for it is "lncRNA (ENSMPUG00000031518.1)". The record is from RNAcentral. Lineage: Eukaryota; Metazoa; Chordata; Mammalia; Carnivora; Mustelidae.
AGAGGAAGACGCACGCAGAGAAAGGGACCCUCCANNNNNNNNNNNNNNNNNNNNUCUCCCUUAAUCCUGACGCAACCUCCUGAAGCUGGUAUUACCGUGAAGCCGGUUCUGAAGAGGAAGACGCACGCAGAGAAAGGGACCCUCCACUGUCAUAGUGUCCACUCCACACGACAGCGACUGUGCAUCACGACAGAACGCACACUCGCAGCUUCCGACCUCCACCAAAAACCCGAGCCCCGCUCCGCCCGACCACGAGCCAAACGGGCACGAAGCGCGGUCACCUGGAACUGGACACCAGCUCCGCCGGCCCUCCCGGCUCGCCGCGACGACUCUGCUCUCCGUCGGGGCUGCGGAACGCGGCCAGAAUCGCUCCUCUCUGCUCGCAGCCUUUGAAAUUACCUGAGAAAAUAAAUAAGGCAUAUGAAGAAAAGAUGUUACUAUCCAUUUAUUGGUAAGGAAUUCAUAUUUUUUUCAUUUUUUCAGUCUUUUUUAGAAAUGUUUCCUUUUUGUCCUAUUGGUUAAAAAAUAAAUAUCUUUCUACAUGGCACUUGCAACUAAUAAUAACUAAAAUGUGUUGAUUACUUACAAUAUACCAGGCAUUGCACGUUUGGUGCAUUCUCUCAUUUUUAUCCCCACAACACUCCCCUGUAGUAGGUGUUUUUGUUGUCCCCAUUUUGCAGAAAAUAUAGAGGUCAAGUAAAUCUGCAGGACUGGUCGCACAGCGUGGAGAGGCACAGCCGGCGUGCAGACCUUCCUUGUCUGACUCCAGAGCCAGCUGUGCUUUCAGUAACCACUCUUCCCUGCUUCACCCUGUGGGUAUUUCUGGCCUGCAUUAAAUCUUUGAAUAAAAAUACUCGCCCU